GGUACUUGUUGAAGUCCUUUCUGGUUUUUAUAGAGGGCUGUCUUCUUGUGUCCUUAUAUGGUGGUAAGGGGAGGGGUGGGGGGGAGAGAGGGAGAGAGAGGAGGAAGCUCUCUAGUGUUUCUUCUUGUAAGGUACCAACAUCAUUCAGGAGAGCUCUAUCCUCACAACCUAAUCACCUCCCAGGGGCCCCACCUCCUAACACCAUCACACUGAGGGGUGAGAUUUUAACAUACGAGUUUUGGGGAGACACAUUCAGUCCAUAGCACUUGAAUACACUUUGUGCCUGCUAACUUCUCUGUUCUUACCCAGCCCCUAUCUUACUCUUUACUUGGCUUUUCUUGUUGACCCACUCAUGUCCCACGAAACAAUCUGCAAUUGAUCUGGUAUUGGCUUUGUACUGUAUUCUGCCUCUAACCAACAAAUCCUUUUCCCAUCACACGUGGUCAUCUAACUAACACAUUUGCCCAUAUAUUCAUUAAUCAAAAAUCUAGAUCCUGGGCCUACGCUGUGCCAGCACUGCUGUGGACACCGAGGACUUGGUGGCAAACUGCAUGCUCUCUGCUGUCACAGAGUUUAUGGCAUCGGUAGAGACAGAUGGCCAGCAGACAAAGAGAAGAAAGUCAUGAAACUUCCCUUCGGUCCUGUGAUUCCUGGAUGCCGGUUCUGAUUGAAGAUGUGUUUCUAGAUGUGAGUGGCCAUACUUUAUUGCUUGUGGCUUAUGGAAUGGAUAACCUAUGUGGGUUCCAUUUCCUCAUCUUUAAGGUAAGAGGUCUUCUAGCUCUAAAAUUUUAUGAAUUGACAAACCACUAACUACAAGAUGGACACUCCAUAAAUACUAAGUCACAUUCUCCACAGUCACACAACCCCAAAGUAACGUAAAUUUCUUUUUCCAUGACAAGGUGCCAGAGAUAGUAUACCUUUCUUUCCUGCAUUUUCCUGUGCAGUUGUACACUGUUCUCGCCCAACUGGCUUCUAGUACCCCUUGUCAUUGCCUCUUGCAUUCAUGUUUCAUAUUCCUCCUGUGAUUGAUUAAUCUCUCUCUUUCUCUGUCUCACACACUCUAUAAAUACACACAGAGACAUAUAUAUGUACACAUAUAUAAUUUGUUUGUGCAUAAAAAGCAGCCAAAGUAUCUUCUUACUCUGAUUUUAGAGAUUAUAACUUUUAGGUUCUUUGGGGUGGGAUGGGAGGCAAAAAAAUUGCUCAGGCAGAGUUCUGAUGCUACUAAUUACUCACCAAGACAUGAGUAAGAAAGACCAUUUUUGUAAGCAAUGAAUUGGCUCAUUUAAAAUCUUUUUUUUUUUUUCAUUUUUAGAAAAAAGAAAGAGGAAGAAAGAAGAAAGUCAAAAGGAUGAAAGAACAAAAGCAGCUCCCCAUAGAAAGACAGACUCUUUGCCAGCACAUUUAAGAAUCUAAAUGAGGCCAAGUGCCACGCAGAUAGAGGACUCUACUUGCUGCAUGGUAAAUUAAACAGGGGUAGGGGGAAGUGUGCAUCAAACAAUACUUUCCGAGGGGACAACAACAAGGCUUAAGAGAAUUCAGACCCUGAGUUUCCUGCCUCACCAGGGAACCUGGCACAGAAGGGUAUCUAAGAGGGUAAAAUAGACUGGAAUCAGACCUAGAACAGACUACCUCCUCCAAAGCAGUGGGGAUGGAGUAUGCAUUGUGGAGACAGACCCUGCUGCAGCCAGGUGGAUGGCUCCUAGUGGCCAGAGGGCUGACAUCAGGCAGCAGGUGGGAGUCCAGGCUAUCCGAUGGUGCCAGUGAAGGGAGCAAGAAGGCUGUGACUGCCUGUUACAGACCAAAACAGGGAAAGACUCAGGGCAGGCACUAGUAGAGACCCAGAGAGACAGCUACUUGUCAGCAGGGAAGGCAGAUGGGAAGAGUAAGAGCAGGAGGGCCUUCGUCACACUGCUGGACCAAUGUGACAUUGGGUGGGCCUGGGAACAAGUACCUCAGUCCUGGAUGGCAGGAGAGGGUAGAGAGAAACUGAUCAGAGGGAAGUUGUUGAGUAGGAAACUUCAGCAAUUUCCUAGGACUGCCGUAACAAAGUGCCACAGCCUGGGUCAGUUACAAUUAUAGAAAGGUAUCCUCUCACAGUUCUGGAGAUUAGAAGUCUGAAAUCAAGAUACCAGCAAAAUUGGUUCCUUCUGGAGCCUCUGAGGGAGGAUGUGCCCUAUGCUUCUCUCCUGGCUGCUGGUGGUUGUUGGCAAUUCUUGGUGUCCCUGGGCUUGCAGGCACAUCACCCUAAUCUCUGCCUCUGUCAUCAAGUGGCGUUCUCUCUAAGAGCCCCUGCCUAUUUUCUCUUCUUAUAAAGACUCAAGUCAUUGGAAUAGGGCCCACUCUAAUGCAGUAUGACCUUAUCUUACAUUAAUAAAUCACAUAUCCAAAGGCCUUGUUUUAGGAUUCUCCAGAGAAAUGGAGCCAAUAGGAGAUAGCACACACAGGCACACACAUACAAUUUAUUAUAAGGAACUGGCUCACACAAUUAUGGAGGCUGAGAGUCCCAAGAUCUGCAGUCGGCAAGCUAGAAACUGCUGAUGUGCAGUUCGGUCUGAGACUGAAGGCCCUAAGGAUCCAAGAAAGCCAGUGCUGUAAGUUUCAGUCCAAAAGCCAGCAGCCUUGAAACCUAAAAAAAGCAGAUGUUUCAGUUUGAGUCCAAAUGACAGGAAAGAUCAAUGUCCCAGCUCAAGGCAGCCAGGCAGGAGGAGUUCCCUCUUCCUUGCAGUAGGGUUAGCCUUUUUGUUCUAUCCAGGCCCCUUCAACUGAUUAGAUGAAGGUCACCCACAUUAGAGAGGGC
Molecule: long non-coding RNA, 2800 nt
Organism: Callithrix jacchus (white-tufted-ear marmoset)
Lineage: Eukaryota; Metazoa; Chordata; Mammalia; Primates; Cebidae
Source: Ensembl